GCCGAAGUGGCGGAAUGGCAGACGCAGCGGAUUCAAAAUCCGCCGACCUCAAAAGUCGUGUGGGUUCGAGUCCCACCUUCGGCA
Molecule: transfer RNA, 84 nt
Filed under: Planctomyces sp.
Lineage: Bacteria; Pseudomonadati; Planctomycetota; Planctomycetia; Planctomycetales; Planctomycetaceae
Also listed under: 1 other name
Description: tRNA-Leu
Rfam family: tRNA
About the family: Transfer RNA (tRNA) molecules are approximately 80 nucleotides in length.
Source: RNAcentral